AAAACGACUCUCGGCAACGGAUAUCUCGGCUCUCGCAUCGAUGAAGAACGCAGCGAAAUGCGAUACUUGGUGUGAAUUGCAGGAUCCCGCGAACCAUCGAGUCUUUGAACGCAAGUUGCGCCCGAAGCCUUUCGGCCGAGGGCACGCCUGCCUGGGUGUCACUC
Molecule: ribosomal RNA, 164 nt
Filed under: Euphorbia tithymaloides
Lineage: Eukaryota; Viridiplantae; Streptophyta; Magnoliopsida; Malpighiales; Euphorbiaceae
Also listed under: 1 other name
Description: 5.8S ribosomal RNA
Rfam family: 5.8S ribosomal RNA
About the family: 5.8S ribosomal RNA (5.8S rRNA) is a component of the large subunit of the eukaryotic ribosome.
Source: RNAcentral